GCCUUCGUAGUGUAACGGUAGCACGCUGGGCCUGUAUUCCAGAGGUCCGUGGUUCGAUUCCCGGCGAAGGCG
Molecule: transfer RNA, 72 nt
Filed under: Stegodyphus dumicola
Lineage: Eukaryota; Metazoa; Arthropoda; Arachnida; Araneae; Eresidae
Description: tRNA-Thr
Rfam family: tRNA
About the family: Transfer RNA (tRNA) molecules are approximately 80 nucleotides in length. Their secondary structure includes four short double-helical elements and three loops (D, anti-codon, and T loops).
Source: RNAcentral